GGUUAGGGUUAGGGUCUUGGGUUGGGGUCAGGGCCAGGCUUGAGAUAAAGUUCAGGUCAGAGUAUGGGUCUGCGUCAGGCGCAGUGUCACGUUCAGUGCCACUGUUUGGGUCAGGAACUGUUGUCAUUCCAUAUCGUUUCCCAUUAAGUGUUCUUUAGCUAUUUUUGGAGAAGUUGGGGGAUAUUGGGCUCCAUUCAGCUUGAAUUUUCAGAAUUUAACGGACUCAGCUGGACCCAGGGAGGGAGCAGGUGCUUCCAUGAACGGUGAGCUCACCUAGUCCUGCACUGCCUCCACCGCCUGCAGAGGGCGCAGGACCCCAGCUCCCACCCGCAGCCGGGCAUGCGCAGACGCUGUGAUGGGAGCCUGGUCUCCUCAGGACCCGCUGUGGAGGCUUCGGGGGAAUGUGAGGGCAGCGUCCACGCUGACAGGAGCUCGGCCUCCUCAGGACCCGCCGGGGGAGGACAAGUUUGGCCCCUUCUGCAAGAGGUGGCAUUCUGCAUAUGCACAAUUGCACUUUUUACCCCAGGACAGUGGAUUCUCACUGGUGUCAAAGGUAAAGCUGGACACUACCUGAAACUGUAAGGAUCGAUUUUAUUGAGUAAUAAGUAUUGCAAUAGGGGAGAGAAUCCAGCGUGAACUGAACUUAACUCCCCCGAAACAAAGGGCAGCAGGCUUUUUAAACGCUUGGGUGUGCUUGGGAAAGGCACUGAAGGGUUAAAAGAAGGGUUUGGUGCACAUGACCAGGCCAUCUGGUUUUGCUCAUUGGAGCAUAUCCAGAGAAGCAAACGUCUAUAUUUAUGACAGGGGCACUGGUGCAAGUUGGACCAGGCACCCACCCAAGUGAGGCCCUAUCCUCCUGCACAGACCAAGAGUGAGAGGCCAAAGAGAUGGCCUUCAGGGCCUUGAGGAGACAGUUUUGGGUAGUAGAAGAUUCACAUUUCAGAGGGCAGGGAGAGGAUUUAUAAGUGCAAGCUUCUAAAGGAGCUGCUCUAACAGGCGUCCUACGUGCUUCUCUGCUUAUCACUAGGUUUUGGUUGGAACAAACAGUAAAUUUUCCCAGCAACUUUGAGUUUACCCCUGCCGGCACUUUAGUGGGGGGUGGGACGGGAUGGGGGCUGGGGUCGUUCUGGGGACACAGCCUUAAGAUGCUGGAAGCCAUGCUAGAGUUUGGUCAGGUCUCUGAGCGCCAGGGUUUGGACAGAGAGGUUAUGGGCCAAGAGUUCUAUAAUUCUCAUGGGUAACACCUUGAAAAUAAAUUUCUCCCACUUGUGCGACAGGUUCACCAUCAGACUCUGGUUGACUGGUCGGUUGACACCUGGAAAAGCUGAAACCUGAGAACCUCUUGUUUUCACCUUUCUGUUUCUGUGUAUGCAUCCUUUCUACAUAUACCACUAAAUCCGCACUUACUCUAUGUGGUGACCACUGUAGGGAUACAGAUUGCCAAAUGUAUUCCAUUCUGGAAAGAAUUUUCACUUGGGAAAGGCUCUCAAGAAAGUUUGAGUCUAGACUAUAAAUUGAUGAGGUGGUCGUAUUUUUUACUCUUGGAAUUUCUCAGUGUUUUUAAAUUUGGCUGUUUCUGUGCAUUUUACUGUCUCCCGUGUGACCUAAUCAGUGCUGGAGACUCUGGGCCAAGCAGGACACUGUCAGUUGUCCAAGAGCGGAGUUGCUGAAGGAGUCCCGCCUGCUUCAUUGGAAGAUACCACUGGAAGAGGGCUGGAAAAUGGUUCUGUCUGCAGUUUGGAACUUGUCAUUUCCGAGACAAACAGGGCUUCCCUCUGAAGUUAAAUGACAUUGUUUGGCACACAUAAUGUGAACUCUUGGGAGAGUUUAGACAACCUGGUGAGGUCUGAUUUGACUUGAAACCUGGAACAUGGCUUUGUUGUUAUAUUUGGCUUGUGGUUUGAUUUAAGGGUCAGCAUUACUGACUGCUCUCCCCAGUGCACUUCCAGCGCUCUGAGGCCUGGAAGGAGAGGAAUUUGCCCUGAUGGUCUGGGGAAAGAACCACAGACCCAAACUGAACAGGGACAGGACCAUGUCAUGGCUCGUCAGUUGUCUGGUUACACUCAUUUGAAUAGCACACCCCACAGGGAUUCAAGGUUAGAACACCACAUGUAGGGGCGUCUUGGUGGCUCAGUUGGCGAAGCAUCUGCCUUCAGCUCAGGUCAUGAUCUCAGGGUCCUGGGAUCGAGUCCUGCAUGGGGCUUUCUGCUCAGCAGGGAGUCUGCUUCUCCCUCUGCCCCUCCCCGUUCAUUCUCUCUCUUUCCCUCUCUCUCUCUUGCUUUUUCUCUUAAAUAAAGAAAACCUUAAACACACACAUACCACAUAUAGUGAGCAUUUGCUUAAGACCUAAUGUAAGUUUGUCCAAACAAACCCGAGCCCUUUAACUUUGCCAGGAAACAGAUAAUAAAAAUGUUUCUCAGGGUUAUAGUUUGUGCCCCAUUGUCAUUGUCAAAUGCAGUGAACUGGCUGGGGCUCCUCAGGCACCCAGUAAGCCUGCAGCUGGGAAGGCAGGCCAUCCCUCAGCGGGCACCACAGUGGGAUUGGAGAGAGGAAUAAACAUGCACAAUUCCUACAACAGGAAAGGUCCUCACGGGAUCUGCUGGUCCGGAAGUACAAGUGGUCAAAAUUCUCACGUACUGUGCUCCAUACCCUGAAGUAGGGAUGUGGAGAGGAGACCUGGCAGAGAAGACACGUAACAAAAUCCUUGAAGUACAGCAUGCUGAGUGUCGGGCCCGCUAUUCUGAAAUGAAACAGAAUAGUGUCCCUGCUCUGACAAAGCUGAAUUUUAGCGUGGGAACACUUCAGAAAGGACACAUAAAUAUGCCAUAAAGUGAUAUGUUCUGUGCAUAAAAAAAUACACGGUGCAGGUAGGCAUGUGAGGUGCAGGACGCUGGUGGACAGUGGGGACUGAACUGAAUCUCAGGUCCACAGCUAAGUGACUGUGACCUUGUGCAAGUUUCUCCACCUCUCGGCACAUCCUCGGUAAAGCAGACUCUGAUAGUACCUGCCUCAUCAGCUGUUGUGCGAGUUAUGUGACUUCAGUGUGUAAAGCACUCGCAACAUAGAACAAAUACUCAAUAGUAAGUGUGCCUGAUGUAGUGAGUCCCAAGUACUAGCUGUUAACUGCAAGUGGAGUGUGAGAAAAAGGGACUCACCCAGGACUUGAAGGUUUGCAGCCUUUGGACCACAACUGUAAAUGCCAUGUCGUUAGGAAGCACCGAGGAGUGUGUCCGCCGUGCAGGGGUGCACACAUCUGGAAGGCUGUCAGACAGGUGCGCCUUGAAUUGAGGUCUUAGAGGCCUCUGCUAACCGAUCAGCAGCAUGGGAUUCCCCAAGAAUACUUACCUCCUCCUGAAGUUUCUCAAGCCAAUGAGCAGGAAGGUACAGCACUGCCAUCCCACUGCUGUAUCCUUUCCCUGGGGAGCACAUGCCAUCCGCAGCCCCAAUCCCCCCAGCUCCCCUCCUCACCAUCCCUCCCCAACCAGAGUCCUGAGCUCCUUGUAACAGGCCACCUCCAGACGGGCUGAGGGGUGCCUGCUGUGGCCUGUGUUAGGAUGCAGUGCCCCCCACCCCUGGCUCUGCCACCCUCUAGGCUCCCUGUGUCUUCUUGCCAGCCCUUCAUGGGGUCCCCCCUUCCCUUCUGGAUCAACCCAACUUUUCUGUGAGAUGCAUAAUGGAAUGAUACAGGUUUAUGCAUCACUGUUCUUAUGAACCCCUUCCCCAGUAUUUCCUGGGACCAUGACCCGAAACACAGGUAAGAACAGACUCCCAGCUUUCCAGUUUGCAUUAGCCAUUUGCCAUUUUCCUGCUUUCCGCUCCCACAGCAGCUUCGGUGAGCCUUGUGCAGGGCCUGCCCCCCCUUCCACAGUGCCUUACAGUUCAGAAUUCCCAGUGCACUUAGUUUAGCUCCAGGCCUGAGAGUCACUGCUUGGUUACUCCUGUGAGGUAACUAGUGGGUGGGUACGUGCAGUCCAUGUCCAGAGUGACAGCCCUGCUGUCUGCUGACCACUCAGAGGCCCUGGGUUGCUGGCACAUCUUGUCUUCACAGAGUCUGUUCAGGUGGACACAUGGAUCCCGUUCUCUGUUUGUCACUCCUGCUUGUUGCCACCUUGCUUCCUUGACCCUUCUGCCCACGGCUCUUCCUUCAGCGCCAACCCCCUCUCCUUGAAUCCUAGGAAAUGUGAGCUCCUUCACAAUGUCUUAACAAAGUCACCCUCCUCCACCCAAAGUGGGGGGCAACGGGAAGCUGAGGGGCCAAGAAAAUCUUCUGUAACAAAUCUUUUUAAUAUAGUGAAUGAACAUGAAGAGGAAAAGGGAGCCUCAGUGAGACCUGUAGAAUGGAGGUGCUGUCACUCCAGAUUUGCUUGUUUUUUUAAUAAAGAUUUAUUUAUUUAGAGAGAGAGUGUGUGUGUGGGAGGGUAGGGGCAGAGGGAGAGGGAGAGAGAGAUCUCCAGCAGACUCCAUGCUGAGUGUGGAGCCCGAUGUGGGGCUCGAUCUCAUGACGCUGAGAUCGUGACCUGAGCCAAAACCAAGAGUUAGACACUUAACCGACUGAGCCACCCAGGCGCCCCCCCCCUUUUUUUAAUAAUCCAGAUUUGCUUGAAAAGAAGUCACAGGUACUUAAAAGACCCCCUGUGAGAAGGGAGG
Molecule: long non-coding RNA, 4647 nt
Filed under: Ailuropoda melanoleuca (giant panda)
Lineage: Eukaryota; Metazoa; Chordata; Mammalia; Carnivora; Ursidae
Description: lncRNA (ENSAMEG00000029306.1)
Source: RNAcentral